RNAcentral lists this ribosomal RNA (420 nucleotides) under Fusobacteriota bacterium. Its description in RNAcentral is "Fusobacteria bacterium partial 16S ribosomal RNA". It matches the Rfam family "Bacterial small subunit ribosomal RNA", at positions 355 to 776 of the family's 1533-position model. Lineage: Bacteria; Fusobacteriati; Fusobacteriota. The record is from RNAcentral.
UGGGGGAUAUUGCACAAUGGGCGAAAGCCUGAUGCAGCGACGCCGCGUGGGGGAUGAAGGCCUUCGGGUUGUAAACUUCUUUUGCUCUGAACAAGGCAUGCCUUUGGGGUGUGUUGAGUGUAUGGGUUGAUUAGCGCCGGCUAACUACGUGCCAGCAGCCGCGGUAAUACGUAGGGCGCGAGCGUUGUCCGGAAUUAUUGGGCGUAAAGGGCUUGUAGGUGGCUGGUUGCGUCUGUCGUGAAAGCUCAUGGCUUAACUGUGGGUUUGCGGUGGGUACGGGCUGGCUUGAGUGCAGUAGGGGAGGCUGGAAUUCCUGGUGUAGCGGUGGAAUGCGCAGAUAUCAGGAGGAAUACCGGUGGCGAAGGCGGGUCUCUGGGCUGUUACUGACGCUGAGGAGCGAAAGCGUGGGGAGCGAACAGG